UGACCGCGUAUGAAAGUACGUUUUCACCCUCGGGUGACAGGGAGACAGGUGGUGCAUGGUUGUCGUCAGCUCGUGUCGUGAGAUGUUGGGUUAAGUCCCGCAACGAGCGCAACCCCUACGUUUAGUUGCUAACGCGUGAAGGCGAGCACUCUAGACGAACUGCCGUUGACAAAACGGAGGAAGUGGGAUGACGUCAAAUCAUCAUGCCCUUAUGUUCUGGGCUACACACGUGCUACAAUGGCCGGUACAGACGGACGCAAAGCCGCGAGGUGGAGCAAAUCCUAAAAAGCCGGUCUCAGUUCGGAUUGCAGGCUGCAAUUCGCCUGCAUGAAGUCGGAAUCGCUAGUAAUCGCAGGUCAGCAUACUGCGGUGAAUACGUUCCCGGGCCUU
RNAcentral lists this ribosomal RNA (390 nucleotides) under uncultured Pelotomaculum sp. RNAcentral describes it as "bacterial SSU rRNA". It matches the Rfam family "Bacterial small subunit ribosomal RNA", at positions 992 to 1382 of the family's 1533-position model. The record is from RNAcentral. Lineage: Bacteria; Bacillati; Bacillota; Clostridia; Eubacteriales; Desulfotomaculaceae.